RNAcentral lists this long non-coding RNA (2256 nucleotides) under Salmo salar (Atlantic salmon). RNAcentral describes it as "lncRNA (ENSSSAG00000105858.1)". Lineage: Eukaryota; Metazoa; Chordata; Actinopteri; Salmoniformes; Salmonidae. The record is from RNAcentral.
GGUAGAGGGGUAGAGGGGUGGAGGGGUAGAGGGGUAGAGGGGUGGAGGGGUAGAGGAGUAGAGGGGUAGAGGGACGGAGGAUGUACUGCCCAAGGCUGUUUCUAACACAAACUGAUUUUCAUAUUGAUGUGCAAUGUAGGGUCUCUCUUUCCAGUCCACAUAUUGGCUCAUGCAUCACCUAACUGCAGCUGUCAGCUACACUGAUAGGACUGACUCAGACACAAUGUUCCUCCUUUCAUAAAUAACCGUUAGCUGGUGUUAGGGCUGCAUACUGCUCCAGGCAUACUGCUCCAGGCAUACUGCUGCAGGCAUACUGCUCCAGGCAUACUGCUCCAGGCAUACUGCUCCAGGCAUACUGCUCCAGGCAUACUGCUCCAGGCAUACUGCUCCAGGCAUCACACACCGUUCAUUACUAUUAACAUUCAAUCACACGCAGGACUUUGUAUUUCUACACAGUGUGACUAUUAUAAGUCUUUACAUUCAGAAUUGUCAAUACCGAUUAAUAAAAAUACAAAAAUUGCAUCAUAUUAUCCUUUAUGGCGAGUCUGAGCUAACAUUAAUUUUCUAGUCCUAGAUGGGCUCUGAAAAACAGGGAAUGUUUCAAUUUGACAUGACCUCAUGCUACACUGUAGCUGUAAAGUUCUCCUGUUAGAUUAUAUUAUAGAUAUAUUAUUAUAUAUUAUAUCUCAGUAUCACACAAUAAUGUUCACACAAUUACAGCACUUGGGACCUUGAGACCAGAAACGUUGUAUUUCCAGUAAACGUUUGUUUAGAGAGAUCCUCAACACCACCAACAGUGGAGCAAGAUGGCGUCGACAUGCAAGAUGGCGUCGACAUGCAAGAUGGCGUCGACAUGCAAGAUGGCGUCGACAUGCAAGAUGGCGUCGACAUGCAAGAUGGCGUCGACAUGCCAGCUCUGCUCCUAAGGAACUUUGCAGUAUUUUUUGUUGUUGUUGUGUGUGUUAUUUCUUACAUUAUUAGCCCAGAAUUUGUUUUGUGUUAUUACAUACAGCCAGAAAUAACUUUUGGAUAUCAGAGCGGCGGUAACUGACCACCAUUCUGACCAGGAACACGACUUUCCCGAAUUGUUUUUUUGUUCGUACCCCCCAGGGCGUUUUAACUCAUCCCAGAAACUGCUCCAAGUUGCCGCUGGUGGAGAAGAGGUAUUCAGAGUGGACUACUAGUCUGACUCAGGAGGAGAGGAGAGGAGAGGAGAGGAGAGGAGAGGAGAGGAGAGGAGAGUUGCCGUUGGUGGAGAAGAGGUAUUCAGAGUGGACUACUAGUCUGACUCAGGAGGAGAGGAGAAGGAGAGGAGAGGAGAGGAGAGGAGAGUUGCCGUUGGUGGAGAAGAGGUAUUCAGAGUGGACUACUAGUCUGACUCAGGAGGAGAGGAGAUGGAGAGGAGAGGAGAGGAGAGUUGCCGUUGGUGGAGAAGAGGUAUUCAGAGUGGACUACUAGUCUGACUCAGGAGGAGAGGAGAUGGAGAGGAGAGGAGAGUUGCCGUUGGUGGAGAAGAGGUAUUCAGAGUGGACUACUAGUCUGACUCAGGAGGAGAGGAGAUGGAGAGGAGAGGAGAGGAGAGGAGAGGAGAGGAGAAUUGCCGUUGGUGGAGAAGAGGUAUUCAGAGUGGACUACUAGUCCGACUCAGGAGGCGUGCACACCAUCCACCGCUACCAAGUAUAUUACUCCCUGCAUUUCGCCACAGCCGCAAUAACAUCUGCUAAAUAUGUGUAUGUGACCGAUAAAAUUUGAUUUGAUUUGAAGAGCAGAGAUACUGAUCACAGUGAGGCUAAACUAUUUAAUCUACAGUAUUACAGUAUCUACAGGGUUGAACUGAGACAUGGAAGAGAAGUCUGUUUCUGUAAUCCAUGUGAAAGAGAAAAGAGCAGUCAGAGAAUUACAUGAAGCUAAGCGUUGCAUGUUACAUUGGGAAAAGAUUAUCCCAGGCCAGCCAGAUGUGUCUUUCUUGGAGGGAGCUGGGCCGACGGGGCCGAUCAGAACAAGCUGUAAGAAGCCGAGAGACAGGCCGUGCAGCGACAAGCAGUCAUAUCCUGCGGCUGGGAGGCAGAGAACAGCGGGGAGUCUUACACUGAGUCACUCACCGUCUCUCUCUCUGUCUCUGAAUAUGCAACAUUUCAGGUUUAGGAGAAUUCAGUUAUUGUUGACAUACAUGUGUUUCCCAUGCCAAUAAAGCCUUUUGAAUUAUAUAUAUAGAGAGAAAAUCCAUUGAAAAAGACUAAUAAAUAUAUAAAGGUU